UUCCGGUUGAUCCUGCCGGACCCUACUGCUAUCGGGGUGGGACUAAGACAUGCAAGUUGUAUGGUAGAGACGCGGCGUACGGCUCAGUAACACGUGGCUAACCUACCCUUAGGACGGGGACAACCCCGGGAAACUGGGGCUAAUACCCGAUAGGUGAGGAGGCCUGGAAUGGUUCCUAGUCGAAAAGACUCGACGCCUAAGGAUGGGGCCGCGCCCGAUCAGGUUGUUGGUGGGGUAACGGCUCACCAAGCCUAUAACCGGUACGGGCCGUGAGAGCGGGAGCCCGGAGAUGGGCACUGAGACAAGGGCCCAGGCCCUACGGGGCGCAGCAGUUGCGAAAACUCCGCAAUGCACGAAAGUGUGACGGGGCUACCCCGAGUGCCGUCCGCUGAGGGCGGCUUUUCCCCGGUGUAAGGAGCCGGGGGAAUAAGGAGAGGGCAAGUUCUGGUGUCAGCCGCCGCGGUAAUACCAGCUCUCCGAGUGGUAGGGAUGAUUAUUGGGCUUAAAGCGUCCGUAGCCAGCUCGACAAGUCUUCCGUUAAAUCCAACGAUUCAAUCGUUGGACUGCGGGAGAUACUGUUGGGCUAGGGGGCGGGAGAGGCCGACGGUAUUCUCGGGGUAGGGGUAAAAUCCUAUAAUCCCGGGAAGACCACCAGUGGCGAAGGCGGUCGGCUAGAACGCGCUCGACGGUGAGGGACGAAAGCUGGGGGAGCGAACCGGAUUAGAUACCCGGGUAGUCCCAGCUGUAAACGAUGCGGGCUAGGUGUUGGGGCGGCUACGGGCCGCUUCAGUGCCGCAGGGAAACCAUUAAGCCCGCCGCCUGGGGAGUACGGCCGCAAGGCUGAAACUUAAGGGAAUUGGCGGGGGAGCACCACAAGGCGUGAAGCUUGCGGUUUAAUUGGAUUCAACGCCGGA
This 914-nucleotide ribosomal RNA is filed under the name uncultured archaeon. RNAcentral's name for it is "bacterial SSU rRNA". It matches the Rfam family "Archaeal small subunit ribosomal RNA", at positions 1 to 922 of the family's 1478-position model. The record is from RNAcentral.